This 406-nucleotide ribosomal RNA is filed under the name uncultured bacterium. RNAcentral's name for it is "partial 16S ribosomal RNA". It matches the Rfam family "Bacterial small subunit ribosomal RNA", at positions 29 to 526 of the family's 1533-position model. The record is from RNAcentral.
AUUGAACGCUGGCGGCAGGCCUAACACAUGCAAGUCGAACGAGUGGCGGACGGGUGAGUAAUGUCUGGGAAACUGCCUGAUGGAGGGGGAUAACUACUGGAAACGGUAGCUAAUACCGCAUACCAUCGGAUGUGCCCAGAUGGGAUUAGCUAGUAGGUGGGGUAAAGGCUCACCUAGGCGACGAUCCCUAGCUGGUCUGAGAGGAUGACCAGCCACACUGGAACUGGGACAGGGGCCAGACGCCUACGGGAGGCAGCAGUGGGGAAUAUGGCACAAUGGGCGCAAGCCUUAGGCAGCCAGGCCGCGUGUAUGAAGAAGGCCUUCGGGUUGUAAAGUACUUUCAGCGGGGAGUCGGUACCCGCAGAAGAAGCACCGGCUAACUCCGUGCCAGCAGCCGCGGUAAUUC